RNAcentral lists this long non-coding RNA (1577 nucleotides) under Salmo salar (Atlantic salmon). RNAcentral describes it as "lncRNA (ENSSSAG00000116539.1)". The record is from RNAcentral. Lineage: Eukaryota; Metazoa; Chordata; Actinopteri; Salmoniformes; Salmonidae.
GUCUGGGGUUAGUAGUAGACUGUCAGGGGAGAGUGGUCUGAGGUUAGUAGUAGACUGUCAGGGGAGAGUGGCAUGGGGUUAGCAGUAGACUGUCAGGGGAGAGUGGUCUGAGGUUAGUAGUAGACUGUCGGGGAGAGUGGCAUGGGGUUAGUAGUAGACUGUCGGGGAGAGUGGCAUGGGGUUAGUAGUAGACUGUCAGGGGAGAGUGGUCUGAGGUUAGUAGUAGACUGUCAGGGGAGAGUGGUCUGGGGUUAGUAGUAGACUGUCAGGGGAGAGUGGUCUGAGGUUAGUAGUAGAUUGUCAGGGGAGAGUGUUUUGGGGUUCGUAGUAGAUUGUCAGGGGAGAGUGGUCUGAGGUUAGUAGUAGAUUGUCAGGGGAGAGUGGUCUGGGGUUAGCAGUAGACUGUCAGGGGAGAGUGGUCUGGGGUUAGUAGUAGACUGUCAGGGGAGAGUGGUCUGAGGUUAGUAGUAGACUGUCAGGGGACAGUGGUCUGAGGUUAGUAGUAGACUGUCAGGGGAGAGUGGUCUGGGGUUAGCAGUAGACUGUCAGGGGAGAGUGGUCUGAGGUUAGCAGUAGACUGUCAGGGGAGAGUGGUCUGGGGUUAGUAGUAGACUGUCAGGGGAGAGUGGUCUGGGGUUAGUAGUAGACUGUCAGGGGAGAGUGGUCUGGGGUUAGUAGUAGACUGUCGGGGGAGAGUGGUCUGGGGUAGUAGACUGUCAGGGGAGAGUGGUCUGAGGUUAGCAGUAGACUGUCAGGGGAGAUUGGUCUGAGGUUAGCAGUAGACUGUCAGGGGAGAGUGGUCUGGGGUUAGCAGUAGACUGUCAGGGGAGAGUGGUCUGAGGUUAGCAGUAGACUGUCAGGGGAGAGUGGUCUGGGGUUAGCAGUAGACUGUCAGGGGAGAGUGGUCUGAGGUUAGUAGUAGACUGUCAGGGGAGAGUGGUCUGGGGUUAGCAGUAGACUGUCGGGGAGAGUGGUCUGGGUUUAGUAGUAGACUGUCAGGGGAGAGUGGCAUGGGGUUAGCAGUAGACUGUCGGGGAGAGUGGCAUGGGGUUAGCAGUGGACUGUCAGGGGAGAGUGGUCUGAGGUUAGCAGUAGACUGUCGGGGGAGAGUGGUCUGGGGUUAGUAGUAGACUGUCAGGGGAGAGUGGUCUGAGGUUAGUAGUAGACUGUCAGGGGAGAGUGGUCUGGGGUUAGUAGUAGACUGUCAGGGGAGAGUGGUCUGAUGUUAGUAGUAGACUGUCAGGGGAGAAUGGUCUGGGGUUAGUAGUAGACUGUCAGGGGAGAGUGGUCUGAGGUUAGUAGUAGACUGUCAGGGGCGAGUGGCAUGGGGUUAGCAGUAGACUGUCAGGGAAGAGUGGUCUGAGGUUAGUAGUAGACUGUCAGGGGAGAGUGGUCUGGGGUUAGUAGUAGACUGUCAGGGGAGAGUGUUUUGGGGUUAGUAGUAGACUGUCAGGGGAGAGUGGUCUGGGGUUAGUAGUAGACUGUUGAGGAGAGUGGUCUGGGGUUAGCAGUAGACAGACAGGGGAGAGUGGUCUGGAGUUAGCAGUAGACUGUCAGGGGAGAGUGGUCUGGGGUUA